CCUACGGGAGGCAGCAGUGGGGAAUAUUGGGCAAUGGGCGCAAGCCUGACCCAGCAACGCCGCGUGAAGGAAGAAGGCUUUCGGGUUGUAAACUUCUUUUGACAGGGAAGAGUAGAAGACGGUACCUGAAGAAGAAGCCCCGGCUAACUACGUGCCAGCCGCCGCGGUAAUACGUAGGGGGCCAGCGUUAUCCGGAUCUACUGGGUGUAAAGGGGGCGCAGACGGCGCUGCAAGCCAGGAUUGAAAGCCCGGGGCCCAACCCCGGGACUGCUCUUGGAACUGCGUGGCUGGAGUGUAGGAGGGGCAGGCGGAAUUCCUGGUGUAGCGGUGAGAUGCGUAGAUAUCAGGAGGAACACCGGGGGAGAAGGCGGCCUGCUGGACUGCAACUGACGAUGAUAGGCCGCUGCUGGACCAUGGCGGGCUCCGGGAUUAGAUACCCCAGUAGUC
This 447-nucleotide ribosomal RNA is filed under the name uncultured bacterium. RNAcentral describes it as "partial 16S ribosomal RNA". It matches the Rfam family "Bacterial small subunit ribosomal RNA", at positions 338 to 795 of the family's 1533-position model. The record is from RNAcentral.